Molecule: long non-coding RNA, 273 nt
Organism: Thalassophryne amazonica
Lineage: Eukaryota; Metazoa; Chordata; Actinopteri; Batrachoidiformes; Batrachoididae
Exons: 3
Source: RefSeq, a predicted model, not a curated record
CCCAAGUGCACACUUACGCUAAAUAUGAAUGAAAUUGGUCAACUGGUUGUUGAGAUAUUGUGCUAAGAAGCAAAACGGAUGGAUGGAUGGAGGGAAGGACAUGCUAAUCACUAUAUCCCCGUAUUUCAUACUGGGAGGAUAAAAAGUCCAAUGACCCAUUGGGAAAUUCAGUUUCCCAGCAUGCUAUUUGAGAGUCAAAGGGUACUGCUAGGCUACAUAUGCUCAUGUUAGCUUCAUUUAGCAGAAAAUCUAUGGUUGACAUUUCCUGUAUAU